AUUGAACGCUGGCGGCAUGCCUUACACAUGCAAGUCGAACGGCAGCAUGAUCUAGCUUGCUAGAUUGAUGGCGAGUGGCGAACGGGUGAGUAAUACAUCGGAACGUGCCCUGUAGUGGGGGAUAACUAGUCGAAAGAUUAGCUAAUACCGCAUACGACCUGAGGGUGAAAGUGGGGGACCGCAAGGCCUCAUGCUAUAGGAGCGGCCGAUGUCUGAUUAGCUAGUUGGUGAGGUAAAGGCUCACCAAGGCGACGAUCAGUAGCUGGUCUGAGAGGACGAUCAGCCACACUGGGACUGAGACACGGCCCAGACUCCUACGGGAGGCAGCAGUGGGGAAUUUUGGACAAUGGGCGAAAGCCUGAUCCAGCAAUGCCGCGUGUGUGAAGAAGGCCUUCGGGUUGUAAAGCACUUUUGUCAGGAAAGAAAUGGCUCUGGUUAAUACCUGGGGUCGAUGACGGUACCGGAAGAAUAAGGACCGGCUAACUACGUG
RNAcentral lists this ribosomal RNA (490 nucleotides) under uncultured bacterium. Its description in RNAcentral is "partial 16S ribosomal RNA". It matches the Rfam family "Bacterial small subunit ribosomal RNA", at positions 30 to 507 of the family's 1533-position model. The record is from RNAcentral.